CAUGUACUCCAUCCGUUCGGAAUUAUUUGUCGUGAAAAUGGAUGUAUUUAUAACUAUAAAUACAUCCAUUUUCGCGACAAGUAAUUCCAAACGGAGGGAGUACUAA
This is a non-coding RNA of Triticum aestivum (bread wheat), 106 nucleotides long. NCBI's taxonomy places the organism in Eukaryota, Viridiplantae, Streptophyta, Magnoliopsida, Poales, Poaceae. The record is from Rfam.